RNAcentral lists this ribosomal RNA (447 nucleotides) under uncultured bacterium. RNAcentral describes it as "bacterial SSU rRNA". It matches the Rfam family "Bacterial small subunit ribosomal RNA", at positions 355 to 825 of the family's 1533-position model. The record is from RNAcentral.
UGGGGAAUCUUGCGCAAUGGGCGAAAGCCUGACGCAGCCAUGCCGCGUGUAUGAUGAAGGUCUUAGGAUUGUAAAAUACUUUCACCGGUGAAGAUAAUGACUGUAGCCGGAGAAGAAGCCCCGGCUAACUUCGUGCCAGCAGCCGCGGUAAUACGAAGGGGGCUAGCGUUGCUCGGAAUUACUGGGCGUAAAGGGAGCGUAGGCGGACAUUUAAGUCAGAGGUGAAAUCCCGGAGCUUAACUUCGGAACUGCCUUUGAUACUGGGUGUCUUGAGUGUGAGAGAGGUAUGUGGAACUCCGAGUGUAGAGGUGAAAUUCGUAGAUAUUCGGAAGAACACCAGUGGCGAAGGCGACAUACUGGCUCAUUACUGACGCUGAGGCUCGAAAGCGUGGGGAGCAAACAGGAUUAGAUACCCCCGUAGUCCCUGAGCGGGCUGGCAAGGCGCAU